Molecule: transfer RNA, 541 nt
Filed under: uncultured Prochlorococcus sp.
Lineage: Bacteria; Bacillati; Cyanobacteriota; Cyanophyceae; Synechococcales; Prochlorococcaceae
Description: partial 16S-23S ribosomal RNA intergenic spacer
Rfam family: tRNA (bases 212-284)
Source: RNAcentral
CAGGGAGACAACAAAAUGUUUAAUAUUAUUAUUUUGUCACCUUAGGUCGAUCGGUAUCUCACGUUCUUAAUUUGUUAAGAAUUUCAUUUCCUAAGUUUUUCUAGGUCACACCCAUUAUUUUUCCUGGGCCAUUAGCUCAGGUGGUUAGAGCGCACCCCUGAUAAGGGUGAGGUCCCUGGUUCAAGUCCAGGAUGGCCCAUAUCUCUAUGUUGGGGGUAUAGCUCAGUUGGUAGAGCGCCUGCUUUGCAAGCAGGAUGUCAGCGGUUCGAGUCCGCUUACCUCCACUGAUUACCACCUCUUCCAUAACUGGUAGAAAGGAAAUGUUUUGAGUUGUGAUUAUUAUUCUGAACGAAUCUAGCUUCCUAAUGAAAUCAUUAAGAUGCUGGACUCAUUGAAUUAAUUUCAUUGUUUUCAGAGAACCUUGACAACUGCAUAGAUUUUUUUAAAGACAAUAAGCAUCUUUAAUGAUGCAGAUUUAUUAUUUGUGCGAAUGCAUUAAUAACAAUUCUAUUAUGCUGAUGCUUCAAUUUUUGAAGUUAUU